RNAcentral lists this ribosomal RNA (1352 nucleotides) under metagenome. RNAcentral describes it as "bacterial SSU rRNA". It matches the Rfam family "Bacterial small subunit ribosomal RNA", at positions 8 to 1369 of the family's 1533-position model. The record is from RNAcentral.
AGAGUUUGAUCAUGGCUCAGAUUGAACGCUGGCGGCAGGCUUAACACAUGCAAGUCGAACGGAACCUUCGGGUUUAGUGGCGAACGGGUGAGUAAUACCUAGGAAUCUGCCUAUUAGUGGGGGAUAACGGCUCGAAAGGGUCGCUAAUACCGCAUACGUCCUACGGGAGAAAGAGGGGGAUCUUCGGACCUCUUGCUAAUAGAUGAGCCUAGGCCGGAUUAGCUAGUUGGUAGGGUAAAGGCCUACCAAGGCGACGAUCCGUAGCUGGUCUGAGAGGAUGAUCAGCCACACUGGAACUGAGACACGGUCCAGACUCCUACGGGAGGCAGCAGUGGGGAAUAUUGGACAAUGGGGGCAACCCUGAUCCAGCCAUGCCGCGUGUGUGAAGAAGGCCUUCGGGUUGUAAAGCACUUUAAGCGAGGAGGAAGGUCUUUGAACUAUAUUUCAAAGAAUUGACGUUACUCGCAGAAUAAGCACCGGCUAACUCUGUGCCAGCAGCCGCGGUAAUACAGAGGGUGCAAGCGUUAAUCGGAAUUACUGGGCGUAAAGCGCGCGUAGGCGGUAUGUUAAGUCGGAUGUGAAAUCCCUGGGCUCAACCUAGGCAUUGCAUCCGAUACUGGCACACUAGAGUGUGGGAGAGGAAGGUAGAAUUCCAGGUGUAGCGGUGAAAUGCGUAGAGAUCUGGAGGAAUACCGAUGGCGAAGGCAGCCUUCUGGCCUAACACUGACGCUGAGGUGCGAAAGCAUGGGGAGCAAACAGGAUUAGAUACCCUGGUAGUCCAUGCCGUAAACGAUGUCAACUAGCCGUUGGGCUCCUCGAGGGCUUAGUGGCGCAGCUAACGCGAUAAGUUGACCGCCUGGGGAGUACGGUCGCAAGACUAAAACUCAAAUGAAUUGACGGGGGCCCGCACAAGCGGUGGAGCAUGUGGUUUAAUUCGAUGCAACGCGAAGAACCUUACCUGGCCUUGACAUGUCUGGAAUCCUGCAGAGAUGCGGGAGUGCCUUCGGGAAUCAGAACACAGGUGCUGCAUGGCUGUCGUCAGCUCGUGUCGUGAGAUGUUGGGUUAAGUCCCGCAACGAGCGCAACCCUUUUCUUUACUUGCCAGCACUUCGGGUGGGAACUUUAAAGAUACUGCCGGUGACAAACCGGAGGAAGGCGGGGACGACGUCAAGUCAUCAUGCCCCUUACGGCCAGGGCUACACACGUGCUACAAUGGUCGGUACAAAGGGUUGCUACCCCGCGAGGGCAUGCUAAUCUCAAAAAGCCGAUCGUAGUCCAGAUUGGAGUCUGCAACUUGACUCCAUGAAGUCGGAAUCGCUAGUAAUCGCGGAUCAGAAUGCCGCGGUGAAUAC